UACGAAGGGGCUAGCGUUGCUCGGAAUCACUGGGCGUAAAGGGUGCGUAGGCGGGUCUUUAGGUCAGGGUGAAUCCUGGAGCUCAACUCCAGAACUGCCUUUGAUACUGAAGAUCUUGAGUUCGGAGAGGUGAGUGGAACUGCGAGUGUAGAGGUGAAAUUCGUAGAUAUUCGCAAGAACACCAGUGGCGAAGGCGGCUCACUGGCCCGAUACUGACGCUGAGCACGAAAGCGUGGGAGCAACAGG
RNAcentral lists this ribosomal RNA (246 nucleotides) under uncultured bacterium. RNAcentral describes it as "partial 16S ribosomal RNA". It matches the Rfam family "Bacterial small subunit ribosomal RNA", at positions 524 to 776 of the family's 1533-position model. The record is from RNAcentral.